This is a long non-coding RNA of Etheostoma spectabile (orangethroat darter), 101 nucleotides long. RefSeq lists it as uncharacterized. NCBI's taxonomy places the organism in Eukaryota, Metazoa, Chordata, Actinopteri, Perciformes, Percidae. The transcript has 3 exons. The record is from RefSeq and is a predicted model, not a curated record.
CUAUACUGUGUCCGUUCAUGAGCUCUAAGUCGUAAUGUGGAAACAUGGGGGCUACAAAGAAGAUGUGUUGUAUUUUAUUGCUCAGAGCUGAAAUGUUGAGA